UCACUAUGUGUUCUAACCUCACUGGUA
This 27-nucleotide small RNA is filed under the name Bombyx mori (domestic silkworm). RNAcentral's name for it is "ovarian small RNA-25387". Lineage: Eukaryota; Metazoa; Arthropoda; Insecta; Lepidoptera; Bombycidae. The record is from RNAcentral.